Molecule: ribosomal RNA, 176 nt
Filed under: uncultured bacterium
Lineage: Bacteria
Description: partial 16S ribosomal RNA
Rfam family: Bacterial small subunit ribosomal RNA
Source: RNAcentral
AAGUCGGAAUUGCUAGUAAUCGCGGAUCAGCAUGCCGCGGUGAAUACGUUCCCGGGCCUUGUACACACCGCCCGUCACACCAUGGGAGCCGGUAAUACCCGAAGUCAGUAGUCCAACCUCGUGAGGACGCUGCCGAAGGUAGGAUUGGCGACUGGGUGAAGUCGUAACAAGGUAUC